RNAcentral lists this ribosomal RNA (474 nucleotides) under uncultured bacterium. Its description in RNAcentral is "bacterial SSU rRNA". It matches the Rfam family "Bacterial small subunit ribosomal RNA", at positions 328 to 793 of the family's 1533-position model. The record is from RNAcentral.
GUAGACCACUCCUACGGGAGGCAGCAGUGGGGAAUAUUGCACAAUGGGCGCAAGCCUGAUGCAGCCAUGCCGCGUGUAUGAAGAAGGCCUUCGGGUUGUAAAGUACUUUCAGCAGUGAGGAAGGUGGGUAUGUUAAUAGCAUAUUCAUUUGACGUUAGCUGCAGAAGAAGCACCGGCUAACUCCCGUGCCAGCAGCCGCGGUAAUACGGAGGGUGCGAGCGUUAAUCGGAAUUACUGGGCGUAAAGCGCAUGCAGGUGGUUUGUUAAGUCAGAUGUGAAAAGCCCGGGGCUCAACCUCGGAAUUGCAUUUGAAACUGGCAAACUAGAGUACUGUAGAGGGGGUAGAAUUUCAGGUGUAGCGGUGAAAUGCGUAGAGAUCUGAAGGAAUACCGGUGGCGAAGGCGGCCCCCUGGACAGAUACUGACACUCAGAUGCGAAAGCGUGGGGAGCAAACAGGAUUAGAUACCCUGGUAG